Molecule: transfer RNA, 77 nt
Filed under: Clostridiaceae bacterium
Lineage: Bacteria; Bacillati; Bacillota; Clostridia; Eubacteriales; Clostridiaceae
Also listed under: 1 other name
Description: tRNA-Pro
Rfam family: tRNA
About the family: Transfer RNA (tRNA) molecules are approximately 80 nucleotides in length. Their secondary structure includes four short double-helical elements and three loops (D, anti-codon, and T loops).
Source: RNAcentral
CGAGGUGUAGCGCAGUUGGCUAGCGCGCUUGCUUUGGGAGCAAGAUGUCGGGGGUUCGAGUCCCUUCACCUCGACCA